UUGAUAGAGGCGCGGAGUUUCAAGAGUAACACAGCAUUUUGCCGGCAGGCGGCUGUGCGAAAGGGAAAUCCGCCGAAAUCGCGGGAAACGGCUGCCGCCGCCCUGCGGUUGGGCUGUUGCAAAAGAUGUAACAGACUGUCACGAAUGUGGAGCGCUAUCGUU
This 162-nucleotide non-coding RNA is filed under the name bovine gut metagenome. RNAcentral's name for it is "Lysine riboswitch". It matches the Rfam family "Lysine riboswitch aptamer". From Rfam's summary of the family: Riboswitches are metabolite binding domains within certain messenger RNAs that serve as precision sensors for their corresponding targets. Allosteric rearrangement of mRNA structure is mediated by ligand binding, and this results in modulation of gene expression. The record is from RNAcentral.